AAUAUGCCUCAAUUAUAGUUCAUGAUAAAGAGGAAAAAUAUUUAUACUAAAUUAAUAAACACAUUUUGAUAAUAAUGAUAAAAAAUUAAUGAUUGAAAUUUGAUUUUCUUUUCAAAAUAAAUCCGGACAAUAGCUACCAGAGAAAAGAAAGUAAAGGGAAAUUAUUUUAAAUCAUAUAAAUAUAUUCAGACGACAAUAAAUUAUAGCUACACGUUUCAGAAAUUCGAAUAUCAAGGCAGAUGCUGUUAUUGACAACCAAAAACAGCACCGCCUGCAGCUUUCAAGUAUUCAAAGAACUAUCAAACAAUAUCAUGCUCAACUGUACUAGCUAUGCCGUUCUAAUUCACCAAGAAAGAAAAGGAAAACGUUUCUUUCAAUAUAUUGAUUAUAGAAAGGUAAGUUCUAACUAAAGAAGCUUUGACAUAGGUGCUUAUAAUCUCCAUCUGAAAGAAAGCCACAUUAUGCUGGUGCUAGGGACAUGGAUUUCCCGUCCCUUGAUAACAUUGGGAAAGAGAACAAAAGACAAAGUAUAAGCUCAAAAUACUAGGUCUAGUUGAUGAAAUUUUCGAAAAUCAUUUGUUGAUGUUAAGUUGGAGUUAUAAGAAUGGAGAAUGAAUCAGAAAGUAGUAGAUUGCCUAUUCAUUCGGUCAAACAACCUCUCAGAUGUUCGGCACAGCACAAACUGGCUGCACCAAGAAAACAUCAAGGCUGAGACCGGUCAUAAGUACCUGCUGUACUUCAUC
Molecule: long non-coding RNA, 743 nt
Filed under: Gossypium barbadense (sea-island cotton)
Lineage: Eukaryota; Viridiplantae; Streptophyta; Magnoliopsida; Malvales; Malvaceae
Description: long non-coding RNA (GBAR_LNC022039)
Source: RNAcentral